CCACGAUCGACCUCUUUCGCUGAAGUCAGGAGUGACAGCAAUUAACUCCUCCGCUGCACCGUCCCCAGGGCCAGAUGCCACGUGAGAGACCCCAGGCUGGAGCGAGAACCUACUUUGGGAGGAUUGAAAGCUACAAAGGACGUUUGGGUGACCUCCCCACAACACAAGGUGGGGUGGGGGGUUUCAACCCACACUGCCCCAUCUUGAAUCGCCAUGGAUGACCAAGUAGUUGAAACACGACGGGGGACUUAGGUGCCAGUCCUUCUAGGCAGAAGGGCCCUCUUGGGAGAAGAAAGUGUUAUUUCCUUUUUGUAUUUUCACUUGAAAAAAAACUGAGAAGAGUGUGACUAGUCGAUGAUAUUUUGACCAUACAGCUGUUGAGCACUUCUGAGGAAGAGGAACAUGGAAGAGACAUUUGUUGAGUACCUAUUACAUGCCAGGCAAUUCCCAUACAUAUUUUACUUAAUCUUCACAACCGCCCAGAGAAAGAGAUCUCUUUUAUCCUUAUUUUAUGGACAUGACAAAACUGAAUAGAAGGCCCUAGUUUACAAACUCCAGGGGCUCCGCUCCAUUUGCUAUCAGCUAAGCAGACUUGGAGCGUGGACCCCUAUUUCUGCUUCUCCCGGGACACUGUAAAUCUCUCCAUUUGCCAUCAGUCUGGAGCUGUGAGCAUGCAGAUGAAAGGCGUUGUGGAUCUGUGAACUACCGUAGCUCUACCUUCGGAGGAACUGACUUUCAGCUUUCAGCCACAUGCAUGAGAGGGGCUGAUUCCAUCUGUCGACCUGUCAGGCUGCCUCUCUUUUGGGCUUCUUUCUUCCCUUCUUGGAGUUUCUUUAAUAAAACAUUUCACUCCCUUGAAAA
RNAcentral lists this long non-coding RNA (861 nucleotides) under Homo sapiens (human). RNAcentral's name for it is "HSALNT0294996". The record is from RNAcentral. Lineage: Eukaryota; Metazoa; Chordata; Mammalia; Primates; Hominidae.